This 1292-nucleotide long non-coding RNA is filed under the name Pan troglodytes (chimpanzee). RNAcentral's name for it is "long non-coding RNA NONPTRT001642". Lineage: Eukaryota; Metazoa; Chordata; Mammalia; Primates; Hominidae. The record is from RNAcentral.
AGGUUGGGUAGAAGUAAUUCUUAAAUCUUAAGAAGCAAUCAUAGAUAUGUGGAAGCCAAUAGUCAUUACUAGGGAUCAUGAUUCGGAAAAACAGCCUCUCUUCAAUGAUCCUGAAUGAGCCCUUUGAAUUCCUCUCCUGCAACUGAUCUCCCCAUGGGGAGUGGUGAGGGAUGGGUGACAGGAAGGGACCCUAACCCAAAGUAGUUCAGAGCGGGUGAGUUUUAGGAGCAUUUCGGUACCAAACACAGCUUCACGAUUGAGAAUCAUCAGUCAUCCCCAGCUUUCUAUUUCAUUUGCUAACCUCUCUAGGAACAACUGGAUGUUGUAAAUGUUUCUCAUCUGGCCUUAAAAUCCAUGAAAGCUGGAAAAUCACAAGGCAUCUGUGCACAUACUGGUGGAUUUUAAUGAGAGUCCUGUGUUUGGAGCACCAGAAAUAAACCAGCUUCAGAAGCAAAGAUCUGAACGUCUAUGACACUCUUUCGAGCUGACACAGUGAAGAACAUGGAAGGAGAACUCACCCAGUCUGCCAGGGUCACAGAUGAUCACACUCAAGAUCUUCCUGGGGAGUCAAUGGCAAAUUUCACUGGGCUAUUUUACAGAUGAAGAAGGAACAUAAAGAAGGUUCUGGGACCCUGAAGUCCACGGAACACCCACCAUUACCUGAUCUUUGGAGCUUGUCAUUUGGCCAGUGGACCCUAAUAAACACGUCCAGGGGGAGGUGGGGAUAGAAUGCCAGAGCCUGGCUCGCUAGGGCAUCCAGGUUCUUCCUCUUUGCCCUGCUGUCUCCAGGCACCAAGAAUCUCCUACAGUUCCCCAAAGAUGAACCCCCCAUUGUCUCGGGUCACUCUGUUUCCCCCGAUCUUUACCAAAUUCCUGACUCAAGAGUUCCUCCCAUUUGCUUCUGACUCUCAUUUUAUUCUUAUGAUGUUUACCAUUUCUGUUCUCCUCAGUGUCCCUCUCUGAGUGGUAAGAGUAUGUUAAUAAGCCAGUGCUGAGACCAGAGCACAAGGCAACUGCUCAGUGUUGGUCAUUGUCACUGUUAUUAAAUGUAACUUAAGGGAAUGAGUGGUUUCUUCUUUUUUUUUACUUGAUUCAAUACUGCCCAAUGCUCUUGAGGUCGAGAAUAUAAGGUAAACUUUACAGAAAUUUUCAGAUAUAACAUCAAGGAUAUUGAAGACACUUAAAUAGUUUGUGGCUCUGGCAUAACAUCAUCAUCGAAAUGGGAAAGCCAGGAGCAGCCAGGAAUUCUGUCAAACGCACAGCUUUGGCACUGUUUAUUAGCCAGUCUGCCC